GAUGAACGCUAGCGGUAGGCUUAACACAUGCAAGUCGAGGGGCAGCACUGGUAGUAAUACUUGGUGGCGACCGGCGCACGGGUGAGUAACGCGUAUGCAACCUACCUUAUACAGGGGGGAUAGGUCUCGGAAACGAGAAUUAACACCCCAUAGUAUUCUAAUUUGGCAUCAGAUAAGAAUUAAAACUUCGGUGGUAUAAGAUGGGCAUGCGUGCCAUUAGGUAGUUGGUAGGGUAAUGGCCUACCAAGCCGACGAUGGCUAGGGGUUCUGCAAGGAAGGUCCCCCACACUGGUACUGAGACACGGACCAGACUCCUACGGGAGGCAG
Molecule: ribosomal RNA, 327 nt
Filed under: uncultured Bacteroidota bacterium
Lineage: Bacteria; Pseudomonadati; Bacteroidota
Description: bacterial SSU rRNA
Rfam family: Bacterial small subunit ribosomal RNA
Source: RNAcentral